GACGAACGCUGGCGGCGUGCUUAACACAUGCAAGUCGAACGGAAAGGCCCUGCCUUUGUGGGGUGCUCGAGUGGCGAACGGGUGAGUAACACGUGAGUAACCUGCCCUUGACUUUGGGAUAACCUCAGGAAACUGGGGCUAAUACCGGAUAGGAGCUCCUGCUGCAUGGCGGGGGUUGGAAAGUUUCGGCGGUUGGGGAUGGACUCGCGGCUUAUCAGCUUGUUGGUGGGGUAGUGGCUUACCAAGGCUUUGACGGGUAGCCGGCCUGAGAGGGUGACCGGCCACAUUGGGACUGAGAUACGGCCCAGACUCCUACGGGAGGCAGCAGUGGGGAAUAUUGCACAAUGGGCGGAAGCCUGAUGCAGCAACGCCGCGUGCGGGAUGACGGCCUUCGGGUUGUAAACCGCUUUCGCCUGUGACGAAGCGUGAGUGACGGUAAUGGGUAAAGAAGCACCGGCUAACUACGUG
RNAcentral lists this ribosomal RNA (468 nucleotides) under uncultured bacterium. RNAcentral's name for it is "partial 16S ribosomal RNA". It matches the Rfam family "Bacterial small subunit ribosomal RNA", at positions 28 to 507 of the family's 1533-position model. The record is from RNAcentral.